Molecule: ribosomal RNA, 574 nt
Filed under: uncultured Candida
Lineage: Eukaryota; Fungi; Ascomycota; Saccharomycetes; Saccharomycetales
Description: partial 18S ribosomal RNA
Rfam family: 5.8S ribosomal RNA (bases 208-361)
Source: RNAcentral
CUUGGUCAUUUAGAGGAAGUAAAAGUCGUAACAAGGUUUCCGUAGGUGAACCUGCGGAAGGAUCAUUACUGAUUUGCUUAAUUGCACCACAUGUGUUUUUCUUUGAAACAAACUUGCUUUGGCGGUGGGCCCAGCCUGCCGCCAGAGGUCUAAACUUACAACCAAUUUUUUAUCAACUUGUCACACCAGAUUAUUACUAAUAGUCAAAACUUUCAACAACGGAUCUCUUGGUUCUCGCAUCGAUGAAGAACGCAGCGAAAUGCGAUACGUAAUAUGAAUUGCAGAUAUUCGUGAAUCAUCGAAUCUUUGAACGCACAUUGCGCCCUCUGGUAUUCCGGAGGGCAUGCCUGUUUGAGCGUCGUUUCUCCCUCAAACCGCUGGGUUUGGUGUUGAGCAAUACGACUUGGGUUUGCUUGAAAGACGGUAGUGGUAAGGCGGGAUCGCUUUGACAAUGGCUUAGGUCUAACCAAAAACAUUGCUUGCGGCGGUAACGUCCACCACGUAUAUCUUCAAACUUUGACCUCAAAUCAGGUAGGACUACCCGCUGAACUUAAGCAUAUCAAUAAGCGGAGGA